Molecule: ribosomal RNA, 426 nt
Filed under: Salmonella enterica subsp. enterica serovar Typhimurium
Lineage: Bacteria; Pseudomonadati; Pseudomonadota; Gammaproteobacteria; Enterobacterales; Enterobacteriaceae
Description: partial 23S ribosomal RNA
Rfam family: Bacterial large subunit ribosomal RNA
Source: RNAcentral
CCGAAUGGGGAAACCCAGUGUGAUUCGUCACACUAUCAUUAACUGAAUCCAUAGGUUAAUGAGGCGAACCGGGGGAACUGAAACAUCUAAGUACCCCGAGGAAAAGAAAUCAACCGAGAUUCCCCCAGUAGCGGCGAGCGAACGGGGAGGAGCCCAGAGCCUGAAUCAGCAUGUGUGUUAGUGGAAGCGUCUGGAAAGGYGCGCGAUACAGGGUGACAGCCCCGUACACAAAAGCGCAUGUGCUGUGAGCUCGAUGAGUAGGGCGGGACACGUGGUAUCCUGUCUGAAUAUGGGGGGACCAUCCUCCAAGGCUAAAUACUCCUGACUGACCGAUAGUGAACCAGUACCGUGAGGGAAAGGCGAAAAGAACCCCGGCGAGGGGAGUGAAAAAGAACCUGAAACCGUGUACGUACAAGCAGUGGGAGC